Molecule: ribosomal RNA, 1558 nt
Filed under: Klebsiella pneumoniae
Lineage: Bacteria; Pseudomonadati; Pseudomonadota; Gammaproteobacteria; Enterobacterales; Enterobacteriaceae
Description: 16S ribosomal RNA
Rfam family: Bacterial small subunit ribosomal RNA
Source: RNAcentral
AGAGUUUGAUCAUGGCUCAGAUUGAACGCUGGCGGCAGGCCUAACACAUGCAAGUCGAGCGGUAGCACAGAGAGCUUGCUCUCGGGUGACGAGCGGCGGACGGGUGAGUAAUGUCUGGGAAACUGCCUGAUGGAGGGGGAUAACUACUGGAAACGGUAGCUAAUACCGCAUAAUGUCGCAAGACCAAAGUGGGGGACCUUCGGGCCUCAUGCCAUCAGAUGUGCCCAGAUGGGAUUAGCUAGUAGGUGGGGUAACGGCUCACCUAGGCGACGAUCCCUAGCUGGUCUGAGAGGAUGACCAGCCACACUGGAACUGAGACACGGUCCAGACUCCUACGGGAGGCAGCAGUGGGGAAUAUUGCACAAUGGGCGCAAGCCUGAUGCAGCCAUGCCGCGUGUGUGAAGAAGGCCUUCGGGUUGUAAAGCACUUUCAGCGGGGAGGAAGGCGNNNNNNNNNNNNNNNNNNNNNNNNNNNNNNNNNNNNNNNNNNNNNNNNNCGAUUGACGUUACCCGCAGAAGAAGCACCGGCUAACUCCGUGCCAGCAGCCGCGGUAAUACGGAGGGUGCAAGCGUUAAUCGGAAUUACUGGGCGUAAAGCGCACGCAGGCGGUCUGUCAAGUCGGAUGUGAAAUCCCCGGGCUCAACCUGGGAACUGCAUUCGAAACUGGCAGGCUAGAGUCUUGUAGAGGGGGGUAGAAUUCCAGGUGUAGCGGUGAAAUGCGUAGAGAUCUGGAGGAAUACCGGUGGCGAAGGCGGCCCCCUGGACAAAGACUGACGCUCAGGUGCGAAAGCGUGGGGAGCAAACAGGAUUAGAUACCCUGGUAGUCCACGCCGUAAACGAUGUCGAUUUGGAGGUUGUGCCCUUGAGGCGUGGCUUCCGGAGCUAACGCGUUAAAUCGACCGCCUGGGGAGUACGGCCGCAAGGUUAAAACUCAAAUGAAUUGACGGGGGCCCGCACAAGCGGUGGAGCAUGUGGUUUAAUUCGAUGCAACGCGAAGAACCUUACCUGGUCUUGACAUCCACAGAACUUUCCAGAGAUGGAUUGGUGCCUUCGGGAACUGUGAGACAGGUGCUGCAUGGCUGUCGUCAGCUCGUGUUGUGAAAUGUUGGGUUAAGUCCCGCAACGAGCGCAACCCUUAUCCUUUGUUGCCAGCGGUCCGGCCGGGAACUCAAAGGAGACUGCCAGUGAUAAACUGGAGGAAGGUGGGGAUGACGUCAAGUCAUCAUGGCCCUUACGACCAGGGCUACACACGUGCUACAAUGGCAUAUACAAAGAGAAGCGACCUCGCGAGAGCAAGCGGACCUCAUAAAGUAUGUCGUAGUCCGGAUUGGAGUCUGCAACUCGACUCCAUGAAGUCGGAAUCGCUAGUAAUCGUAGAUCAGAAUGCUACGGUGAAUACGUUCCCGGGCCUUGUACACACCGCCCGUCACACCAUGGGAGUGGGUUGCAAAAGAAGUAGGUAGCUUAACCUUCGGGAGGGCGCUUACCACUUUGUGAUUCAUGACUGGGGUGAAGUCGUAACAAGGUAACCGUAGGGGAACCUGCGGUUGGAUCACCU